Molecule: ribosomal RNA, 469 nt
Filed under: uncultured organism
Description: partial 16S ribosomal RNA
Rfam family: Bacterial small subunit ribosomal RNA
Source: RNAcentral
ACUCCUACGGGAGGCAGCAGUGGGGAAUUUUGGACAAUGGGCGAAAGCCUGAUCCAGCAAUGCCGCGUGAGUGAAGAAGGCCUUCGGGUUGUAAAGCUCUUUUGUCAGGGAAGAAACGGUGAAAGCUAAUAUCUUUUGCUAAUGACGGUACCUGAAGAAUAAGCACCGGCUAACUACGUGCCAGCAGCCGCGGUAAUACGUAGGGUGCAAGCGUUAAUCGGAAUUACUGGGCGUAAAGCGUGCGCAGGCGGUUUUGUAAGUCUGAUGUGAAAUCCCCGGGCUCAACCUGGGAAUUGCAUUGGAGACUGCAAGGCUAGAAUCUGGCAGAGGGGGGUAGAAUUCCACGUGUAGCAGUGAAAUGCGUAGAUAUGUGGAGGAACACCGAUGGCGAAGGCAGCCCCCUGGGUCAAGAUUGACGCUCAUGCACGAAAGCGUGGGGAGCAAACAGGAUUAGAAACCCGUGUAGUCC